UUUCUCUCUCCACCAUUUUCACUACUAUAACUCUCCGAUUUUCCGUCUUCGAUACUCUCCGAUGACCGAUCACCGUGUUGACCAGUUCCACGGGCGUCCGAUUCCGGCGAGCUAUGAGAAUGUGCUUUUGGCGAUGGCUUGUACAUGUGACUACCAGGAUGGUACAAUUGUUGGUGGUGCAGUGUUUGUAAUGGUUGUGGCGUAUUAUAAAACUCUUGAGCUAAUGCUUGUGGGGCCGCAAUAUAGUGAGG
RNAcentral lists this unclassified non-coding RNA (251 nucleotides) under Hevea brasiliensis (rubber tree). Lineage: Eukaryota; Viridiplantae; Streptophyta; Magnoliopsida; Malpighiales; Euphorbiaceae. The record is from RNAcentral.